AAAAAUAAAAAAAAUCCCUAAAAAUUUAAAAAAAAAAUCCAAAAAUUAUCCCAAAUUUGCCAUAAAUCUCAUUAAUUCUGGGAAUAUCAAAAAUCAAAAAAAAUCCCUAAAAAAUAAAAAAAAAAAUUCCCCCAAAAAAUCCCAUAAAUCCCAAAUUUCCCCCUAAAUCCCAUUAAUUUUGGAAAGCUCAAAAAUCCCAUAAAUUCCCUGAAAUUCCAAAAUCCCCACAAACCCUAAAAUCCCAAUACUGGUCCAUACUGGUUUAUACUGGUUUAUCCCAGUCCAUACCAGUCCAUACUGGUUAAUACUGGUCUGUACUGGUCCUUACUGGUUUAUACUGGUCCACACUGGUCCACACCGAUCCGUACUGGUCCGUACUGGUUUGUACUGGUUUAUCCCAGUCCAUACUGGUCUGUACUGGUUUAUACUGGUCCAUACUGGCCCAUACUGGUUUAUACUGGUAUAUCCCAGUCCAUACUGCUCCAUACUUCUCCAUACUGGUCCAUACUGGUUUAUACCAGUCCAUACCGGUCCAUACUGGUUUAUCCCAGUCCGUACUGGUUUGUACUGGUCCAUACUGGCCCGUUCUGGUCCGUACUGGUUUGUACUGGUUUAUCCCAGUCCGUACUGGUUUGUACUGGUUUGUACUGGUCCAUACCGGUCCAUACCGGUCCAUACUGGUUUAUACUGGUCCAUACUGGUCCAUACCGGUCCAUUCUGGUCCAUACUGGUCCGUACCGGUCCAUACUGGUCCAUACUGGUCCAUACUGGUCCAUACCGGUCCAUACCGGUCUGUACUGGUCCAUACCGGUCCAUACUGGUCCAUACUGGUCCAUACUGGUCCAUACUGGUCCGUACCGGUCCAUACUGGUCCAUACCGGUCUGUACUGGUCCAUACCGGUCCGUACUGGUCCAUACCAGUCCAUACUGGUCCAUACUGGUCCAUACCGGUCCAUACCGGUCUGUACUGGUCCAUACCGGUCCGUACUGGUCCAUACCAGUCCAUACCAGUCCAUACUGGUCCAUACUGGUCCAUACUGGUCCAUACCGGUCCAUACUGGUCCAUACCGGUCCGUACUGGUCCAUACUGGUCCGUACUGGUCCAUACCAGUCCAUACUGGUCCAUACUGGUCCAUACCGGUCCGUACCGGUCCAUACCGGUCCAUACUGGUCCGUACUGGUCCAUACUGGUCCGUACCGGUCCAUACUGGUCCGUACUGGUCCAUACUGGUCCAUACUGGUCCAUACUGGAUUUUAUUGGUCCAUACUGGUUUAUACUGGUUUGUAAUGAUCCAUACUGCUCCAUAUGGUCCAUACUGGUCCAUACUGGUUUACACUGGUCCGUACCGGUCCAUACCGGUCCAUACUGGUCCAUACUGGUUUAUCCCAGUCCAUACCGGUCCAUACUGUUCCAUACUGGUCCAUACUGGUUUAUCCCAGUCCAUACCAGUCCAUACCGGUCCAUACCGGUCCGUACCGGAUUAUACCGGUCCAUACUGGUUUAUACUGGUCCAUACUGGUUUAUACUGGUCCAUACUGGUUUAUACUGGUCCA
Long non-coding RNA from Zonotrichia albicollis (white-throated sparrow), 1554 nucleotides. The record is from Ensembl. NCBI's taxonomy places the organism in Eukaryota, Metazoa, Chordata, Aves, Passeriformes, Passerellidae.